Molecule: ribosomal RNA, 421 nt
Filed under: uncultured bacterium
Lineage: Bacteria
Description: bacterial SSU rRNA
Rfam family: Bacterial small subunit ribosomal RNA
Source: RNAcentral
UAAGGAAUAUUGGUCAAUGGACGCAAGUCUGAACCAGCCAUGCCGCGUGAAGGAUGAAGGUCCUCUGGAUUGUAAACUUCUUUUAUCUGGGACGAAAACGGGAUUUUUAUCUCAAUUGACGGUACCAGAGGAAUAAGCACCGGCUAACUCCGUGCCAGCAGCCGCGGUAAUACGGAGGGUGCGAGCGCUAUCCGGAUUUACUGGGUUUAAAGGGUGCGUAGGUGGGCUUAUAAGUCAGUGGUGAAAUCUCCGAGCUUAACUUGGAAACUGCCGUUGAUACUAUAGGUCUUGAAUUAUCUGGAGGUAAGCGGAAUAUGUCAUGUAGCGGUGAAAUGCAUAGAUAUGACAUAGAACACCGAUUGCGGAGGCAGCUUGCUACGCAAAUAUUGACGCUGAGGCACGAAAGCGUGGGGAUCAAACA